CGAGUGCGGGUCCGCGUGGCCCAACCUCCCACCCGUGCCUAUUGUACCCUGUUGCUUCGGCGGGCCCGCCAGCCUUCGGGCUGGCCGCCGGGGGGCGUCUCGCCCCCGGGCCCGUGCCCGCCGGAGACCCCAACAUGAACCCUGUUCUGAAAGCUUGGUGUCUGAGUGUGAUUGUUUGCAAUCAGUUAAAACUUUCAACAAUGGAUCUCUUGGUUCCGGCAUCGAUGAAGAACGCAGCGAAAUGCGAUAACUAAUGUGAAUUGCAGAAUUCAGUGAAUCAUCGAGUCUUUGAACGCACAUUGCGCCCCCUGGUAUUCCGGGGGGCAUGCCUGUCCGAGCGUCAUUGCUGCCCUCAAGCCCGGCUUGUGUGUUGGGCCCUCGUCCCCCGGCUCCCGGGGGACGGGCCCGAAAGGCAGCGGCGGCACCGCGUCCGGUCCUCGAGCGUAUGGGGCUUUGUCUUCCGCUCUGCAGGCCCGGCCGGCGCCCGCCGACGCAUAACAACUUUUUUUCCAGGUUGACCUCGGAUCAGGUAGGGAUACCCGCUGAACUUAAGCAUAUCAAUAAGCGGAGGAAAAGAAACCAACCGGGAUUGCCUCAGUAACGGCGAGUGAAGCGGCAAGAGCUCAAAUUUGAAAGCUGGCUCCUUCGGGGUCCGCAUUGUAAUUUGCAGAGGAUGCUUCGGGUGCAGCCCCCGUCUAAGUGCCCUGGAACGGGCCGUCAUAGAGGGUGAGAAUCCCGUAUGGGGCGGGGUGUCUGCGUCCGU
RNAcentral lists this ribosomal RNA (763 nucleotides) under Aspergillus sp. E30. RNAcentral's name for it is "eukaryotic LSU rRNA". The stretch from base 516 to 763 matches the Rfam family "Eukaryotic large subunit ribosomal RNA", at positions 1 to 245 of the family's 3401-position model. Lineage: Eukaryota; Fungi; Ascomycota; Eurotiomycetes; Eurotiales; Aspergillaceae. The record is from RNAcentral.